Molecule: long non-coding RNA, 891 nt
Organism: Schistocerca nitens (vagrant locust)
Lineage: Eukaryota; Metazoa; Arthropoda; Insecta; Orthoptera; Acrididae
Exons: 3
Source: RefSeq, a predicted model, not a curated record
GAUGUUCCUGGGUACGUUAAAGCUUUUAGCAGCUGCUUUCCACCGCAUACCAUCUCUUUUUUUACAGCAUUAAUAGCUCGUUGGUUCACCUUGGAGUCCCAGGCUCUUCUUCUGGUUAUUUGGACACCAUAACUGCGUCGGAACAAACGUGAAAUGUAAGCAGUUCAAAGAGAAAUGCUGUCUUCGUUCAGCAAAGAUGAAACUAGGAUGAUGUUUGCCCACACACUGCUCAUGAAACUCAACAUGCCCUGCAAGACGUGCAGGAACUUCCCUGGCCAGUCUCCAAUAUGGGAUAUCAUGGGAUGAGAAAUGACUCGUGUGACACAUCAACCAGCAAAUCUUAUAGAACUGCAUGAACAGGUCCAGCAGGUGCAGCAUAACAACUGUAUAUGCCAUCUGUACAGUUGUCUGGAUGCCAGAGUCAACAUCUGUGUUGCCACCUGUGGAGGGUACAUUGUGUACUGAUAUGGGUGAUUCAGCAUGGUUCAGUACCUGGUACCUUAGAAAUUGUUUUCCUUGUCUUAUGCAGAUUUGUGUAUGGUGAUAGGAGUGUUCCACUGUUUUGUGUUAUAACUGAAUAGGUAUGUAAUUACUGUGUAUUUUACCAUAUUGUAAAAAGUCUUACAUGUGUCGUUAAAUAGGCCUUGCACAUAAAGGUUCAGACAGUUGUCACCCAUCAUUCAUUACAUGAGGGUACAUCUCUGUCAGCCUCAGUUGAGCUACAGUAUUGAAAUAUUCAUUAUGUCAGUUACCACAGUUCAAGCUCUCUAGUCAAUUUGUUUAGUUACAGUGACUUUUACUAUCAGAAGUAUGUUAUUCAAUCACUUGUUUAUUCUGAAUGAAUACGUAUUAAUUUUGGUAGGCUAAUUAGGGCAUAUGUGAGCUGCUGAU